GACGAACGCUGGCGGCGUGCUUAACACAUGCAAGUCGAACGGAAAGGCCCUGCUUUUGUGGGGUGCUCGAGUGGCGAACGGGUGAGUAACACGUGAGUAACCUGCCCUUGACUUUGGGAUAACUUCAGGAAACUGGGGCUAAUACCGGAUAGGAGCUCCUGCUGCAUGGUGGGGGUUGGAAAGUUUCGGCGGUUGGGGAUGGACUCGCGGCUUAUCAGCUUGUUGGUGGGGUAGUGGCUUACCAAGGCUUUGACGGGUAGCCGGCCUGAGAGGGUGACCGGCCACAUUGGGACUGAGAUACGGCCCAGACUCCUACGGGAGGCAGCAGUGGGGAAUAUUGCGCAAUGGGCGGAAGCCUGAUGCAGCAACGCCGCGUGCGGGAGGACGGCCUUCGGGUUGUAAACCGCUUUCGCCUGUGACGAAGCGUGAGUGACGGUAAUGGGUAAAGAAGCACCGGCUAACUACGU
RNAcentral lists this ribosomal RNA (467 nucleotides) under uncultured bacterium. RNAcentral describes it as "partial 16S ribosomal RNA". It matches the Rfam family "Bacterial small subunit ribosomal RNA", at positions 28 to 506 of the family's 1533-position model. The record is from RNAcentral.